UCUUAUAUUGCUGAAGCAAUCGCUCCUUUGUUUUCAACUGCUAAAGAGCUGAUCCGACCCAGUAGAGGCGAUGAGGAGGAUAGUACACCAGCUCUAAUCCUUUGUCAUGUCAUUCGCAGAGUUGAUGAACCAUCUAUACUUUCAACAGCGUCUGAAUUUGGUUUCAGGUUGGUGGAUAGGUGGCCUAAUGCACUAACCUCAACUAGUACAUCUCAGAACAUAAUCCAAAGUUGGUUCUCCGAUGGCAGCCUUGAAACUUGUAUUCCUACCACUGCACUGAAUAUUCUGUAUUUCCACAAGUUGUAGGUUUUGAUCUUGGAGGAAUUUUGUUAUGUGCUUCCAUAGAAAGGGGAAACGUUCCAGAAAGCUAGUCAAGAGUUCUGCCG
RNAcentral lists this unclassified non-coding RNA (386 nucleotides) under Hevea brasiliensis (rubber tree). Lineage: Eukaryota; Viridiplantae; Streptophyta; Magnoliopsida; Malpighiales; Euphorbiaceae. The record is from RNAcentral.